This is a long non-coding RNA of Apis dorsata (giant honeybee), 415 nucleotides long. RefSeq lists it as uncharacterized. NCBI's taxonomy places the organism in Eukaryota, Metazoa, Arthropoda, Insecta, Hymenoptera, Apidae. The record is from RefSeq and is a predicted model, not a curated record. The transcript has 2 exons.
UUGAUCGAAGGAUUAUAGAUCGAAUUAUGGGUUAUGUGUUGUAUGUAUAAUUCUCAGAGAAACGAUGAGGUGCACUCCGCGAAUUCGCGCAUAAAACUGAUGUCUCAAGUUCGACAAAGACGCAGAAAUCUUAUCUAGCCGAUAACAAAGAGACACAAUGUCAACAGAUAAACAAUAAUUACCUAAUGGUUCCACUAAACAUGAUUACAUCCUGAGGAAUUACUGAAAGUCUCGAACGAAGGAUUUUCAAAGGAAUUUGUCGGACGUCUAUUCCAUCGAUCAAUACGCGACCUUGAGUGAUAUCUAGUAAUCGAAACAGUGCCAUCACUGUAGAGGAUUUCCCGCUUCCGGUUCUCCCGCAAAUUCCAAUCUAUGUGCAUAUAUAUAUACAUCAAAAUAGAAUAGUAUUCUCUUA